CAGAGAAGUAGCCUACGCAAGGAGGAAGUUCGGAGACAGGUGCUGCAUGGCUGUCGUCAGCUCGUGUCGUGAGAUGUUGGGUUAAGUCCCGCAACGAGCGCAACCCUUAUCUUUAAUUGCCAGCAUUCAGUUGGGCACUUUAAGAGACUGCCGGUGUUAAACCGGAGGAAGGUGGGAUGACGUCAAGUCCUCAUGGCCUUUAUGCUUAGGGCUACACACGUGCUACAAUGGGUGGUACAAAGAGAAGCCAACUCGCGAGAGCGCGCCAAUCUCAAAAAGCCAUCCUCAGUUCGGAUUGGAGUCUGCAACUCGACUCCAUGAAGUUGGAAUCGCUAGUAAUCGCGGAUCAGCAUGCCGCGGUCGAAUACGUUCCCGGGCCUU
Molecule: ribosomal RNA, 381 nt
Filed under: uncultured Smithella sp.
Lineage: Bacteria; Pseudomonadati; Thermodesulfobacteriota; Syntrophia; Syntrophales; Smithellaceae
Description: bacterial SSU rRNA
Rfam family: Bacterial small subunit ribosomal RNA
Source: RNAcentral